CAAGUCGAGGGGUAUAGUAGCAAUACUAGAGACCGGCGCACGGGUGCGUAACGCGUAUGCAAUUUACCUUUCACAGAGGGAUAGCCCAGAGAAAUUUGGAUUAAUACCUCAUAGCAUAUAUGAAUGGCAUCAUUUAUAUAUUAAAGUCACAACGGUGAAAGAUGAGCAUGCGUCCCAUUAGCUAGUUGGUAAGGUAACGGCUUACCAAGGCGACGAUGGGUAGGGGUCCUGAGAGGGAGAUCCCCCACACUGGUACUGAGACACGGACCAGACUCCUACGGGAGGCAGCAGUGAGGAAUAUUGGACAAUGGGCGCAAGCCUGAUCCAGCCAUGCCGCGUGCAGGAUGACGGUCCUAUGGAUUGUAAACUGCUUUUGCACAGGAAGAAACACCCCGACGUGUCGGGACUUGACGGUACUGUGAGAAUAAGGAUCGGCUAACUCCGUGCCAGCAGCCGCGGUAAUACGGAGGAUCCAAGCGUUAUCCGGAAUCAUUGGGUUUAAAGGGUCUGUAGGCGGUCUUAUAAGUCAGUGGUGAAAUCUCCCCGCUCAACGGGGAAACGGCCAUUGAUACUGUAGGACUUGAAUUAUUAGGAAGUAACUAGAAUAUGUAGUGUAGCGGUGAAAUGCUUAGAGAUUACAUGGAAUACCAAUUGCGAAGGCAGGUUACUACUAAUGGAUUGACGCUGAUGGACGAAAGCGUGGGUAGCGAACAGGAUUAGAUACCCUGGUAGUCCACGCCGUAAACGAUGGAUACUAGCUGUUGGGAGCAAUUUCAGUGGCUAAGCGAAAGUGAUAAGUAUCCCACCUGGGGAGUACGUUCGCAAGAAUGAAACUCAAAGGAAUUGACGG
This 850-nucleotide ribosomal RNA is filed under the name uncultured bacterium. RNAcentral's name for it is "bacterial SSU rRNA". It matches the Rfam family "Bacterial small subunit ribosomal RNA", at positions 58 to 916 of the family's 1533-position model. The record is from RNAcentral.